UUUUUGGAGAGUUUGAUCCCGGCUCAGGAUAAACGCUGGCGGUGUGCUUUAUGCAUGCAAGUCGAACGCCCUGGCGCAAGUCAGGGAGUGGCAGACGGGUGAGUAACACGUAAGCAACCUGUCCUUAAGUGGGGAACAACUCUGAGAAAUCGGAGCUAAUACCGCAUGUGGUCCUCCUGCAAAUGUGGGAGGACCAAAGCCGCAAGGCGCUUGAGGAGGGGCUUGCGCCCGAUUAGCUAGUUGGUGAGGUAACGGCCCACCAAGGCGACGAUCGGUAGCUGGUUUGAGAGGACGACCAGCCACACUGGGACUGAGACACGGCCCAGACUCCUACGGGAGGCAGCAGCAAGGAAUAUUGGGCAAUGGGCGAAAGCCUGACCCAGCGACACCGCGUGGGGGAAGAAGGCCUUCGGGUUGUAAACCCCUUUUAUCGGGGAAGAAUAAUGACGGUACCCGGUGAAUAAGCCUCGGCUAACUACGUGCCAGCAGCCGCGGUAAUACGUAGGAGGCAAGCGUUAUCCGGAUUUACUGGGCGUAAAGCGGGCGUAGGCGGUCUGUCAAGUCGGAUGUGAAAUCUCCCGGCCCAACUGGGAGGGUGCAUUCGAAACUGAUGGACUGGAGUGCAGCAGAGGGAAGCGGAAUUCCCGGUGUAGUGGUGAAAUGCGUAGAUAUCGGGAA
Non-coding RNA from Chloroflexi bacterium RBG_16_56_11, 678 nucleotides. NCBI's taxonomy places the organism in Bacteria, Bacillati, Chloroflexota. The record is from Rfam.